ACGAACGCUGGCGGCGUGCUUCACACAUGCAAGCCGAACGGAAAGGCCCUGCUUUUGUGGGGUGCUCGAGUGGCGAACGGGUGAGUAACACGUGAGUAACCUGCCCUUGACUUUGGGAUAACUUCAGGAAACUGGGGCUAAUACCGGAUAGGAGCUCCUGCUGCAUGGUGGGGGUUGGAAAGUUUCGGCGGUUGGGGAUGGACUCGCGGCUUAUCAGCUUGUUGGUGGGGUAGUGGCUUACCAAGGCUUUGACGGGUAGCCGGCCUGAGAGGGUGACCGGCCACAUUGGGACUGAGAUACGGCCCAGACUCCUACGGGAGGCAGCAGUGGGGAAUAUUGCACAAUGGGCGGAAGCCUGAUGCAGCAACGCCGCGUGCGGGAUGACGGCCUUCGGGUUGUAAACCGCUUUCGCCUGUGACGAAGCGUGAGUGACGGUAAUGGGUAAAGAAGCACCGGCUAACUACGUG
RNAcentral lists this ribosomal RNA (467 nucleotides) under uncultured bacterium. RNAcentral's name for it is "partial 16S ribosomal RNA". It matches the Rfam family "Bacterial small subunit ribosomal RNA", at positions 29 to 507 of the family's 1533-position model. The record is from RNAcentral.